This 301-nucleotide ribosomal RNA is filed under the name uncultured bacterium. RNAcentral describes it as "partial 16S ribosomal RNA". It matches the Rfam family "Bacterial small subunit ribosomal RNA", at positions 509 to 807 of the family's 1533-position model. The record is from RNAcentral.
CAGUCGCCACGGUAAUACGUAGGGGGCAAGCGUUGUUCGGAUUUAUUGGGCGUAAAGGGUGCGUAGGCGGUUUGGCAAGUCUUGUGUGAAAUCUUCGGGCUCAACCCGAAGCCUGCACGAGAAACUACCGGGCUUGAGUAUUGGAGGGGUGAGUGGAAUUUCCGGUGUAGCGGUGAAAUGCGUAGAUAUCGGAAGGAACACCUGUGGCGAAAGCGGCUCACUGGACGAUAACUGACGCUGGUGCACGAAAGCUAGGGGAGCAAACAGGAUUAGAUACCCCCGUAGUCCCUGUCUCUUAUAC